AGAGCGAACGCUGGCGGCAGGCCUAACACAUGCAAGUCGAGCGCCCCGCAAGGGGGAGCGGCAGACGGGAGAGUAACACGUGGGAACGUACCCUUUGGUUCGGAACAACCCAGGGAAACUUGGGCUAAUACCGAAUAAGCCCUUACGGGGAAAGAUUUAUCACCAAAGGAUCGGCCCGCGUCUGAUUAGCUAGUUGGUGAGGUAACGGCUCACCAAGGCGACGAUCAGUAGCUGGUCUGAGAGGAUGAUCAGCCUCACUGGGACUGAGACACGGCCCAGACUCCUACGGGAGGCAGCAGUGGGGGAAUAUUGGACAAUGGGCGCAAGCCUGAUCCAGCCAUGCCGCGUGGGUGAUGAAGGCCCUAGGGUUGUAAAGCCCUUUCGGCGGGGAAGAUAAUGACGGUACCCGCAGAAGAAGCCCCGGCUAACUUCGUGCCAGCAGCCGC
This 446-nucleotide ribosomal RNA is filed under the name uncultured bacterium. RNAcentral's name for it is "SSU rRNA". It matches the Rfam family "Bacterial small subunit ribosomal RNA", at positions 26 to 518 of the family's 1533-position model. The record is from RNAcentral.